RNAcentral lists this ribosomal RNA (460 nucleotides) under uncultured bacterium. Its description in RNAcentral is "partial 16S ribosomal RNA". It matches the Rfam family "Bacterial small subunit ribosomal RNA", at positions 338 to 795 of the family's 1533-position model. The record is from RNAcentral.
ACUACGGGAGGCAGCAGUGAGGAAUAUUGGUCAAUGGACGCAAGUCUGAACCAGCCAUGCCGCGUGCAGGAAGAAGGCUCUAUGAGUUGUAAACUGCUUUUGUACGAGGGUAAACGCAGAUACGCGUAUCUGUCUGAAAGUAUCGUACGAAUAAGGAUCGGCUAACUCCGUGCCAGGAGCCGCGGUCAUACGGAGGAUUCAAGCGUUAUCCGGAUUUAUUGGGUUUAAAGGGUGCGUAGGCGGUCGGAUAAGUUAGGGGUGAAAUCCCGAGGCUCAACUUUGGAAUUGCCUCUGAUACUGUUCGGCUGGAGAGUAGUUGCGGUAGGCGGAAUGUCUGGUGUAGCGGUGAAAUGCUUAGAGAUCAGACGGAACACCGAUUGCGAAGGCAGCUUACCAAGCUACUUCUGACGUUGAGGCGCGAAAGCGUGGGGAGCAAACAGGAUUAGAUACCCCUGUAGUC